CAGCUUAUCUGACUAAACUGUUCCAGUAUUAAGUUCAAUAGUUAGCAAAUGGAAGAAGGUUCGAUGGAAAUUCCAACUGCUUCAACAUAUGAUAAAAAACAAGAUAAAGCUCCAAUGAAUUUGGGUGAUAAGGGAGAAACAAGUAAUCCGUUGGAGGAUCGGAUUAGUCAACUGCCUGAUGCGAUUCUGGUUGACAUCAUUUCCCCGUUGAGGAUUAAGGAAGUAGCAAGGACUAGUGUCCUCUCUAAGAGGUGGAGAUAUUUGUGGACACAUGUUACACGUCUCAACUUUGAUCAUCAUGAUGGUGAACAUCCACGUACCUCCACAAGGACCACAACAGUUAAUCCGUCAGAGAGACGUCGUCUAGAAGCGACCAACAGAAGACAACGAAUCCGGCAAUCGCACCAGGGUUUAACACCUUUAAACUUGGGUGAAUGCAGAGGUGGUUCUUCCUCAGCGGGUUCCGGUUCAAGAUCUAGGCACCCCGAUGGAAUUUCAAGACUAAUUCGCCCACCAUCACCACCACCGUGUACGGUGGUGACUAAAGUCCUGCAAUCGCAUCAGGGUCCAACCGUAGAUGGAGUCAGAAUUUGUGGAUCUUGUUAUAGCUCGGAUAAUGUCGAUGAUUUUAUCGAAUUUGCAAUUCAAAAGAAAGUUCAAAGGCUUGAGAUAGACAAAUCGAAAGAAAAAGACACCAAGUCUUGGGAGAAGCCUUUCAACAACCCUUUAGGUGUUUCACGCAUUAAGUCCCUUAGACACCUCUCUUUAAAGUACAUACCUAUAACUGAUGAAGUUGUUGGGCUGGUUCUAUCCGAAUGUCAACUUCUUGAACACCUCAGUAUUUGUCACUCAAGCGAUCUUUAUGCUGUGAAAGCAGUUGGUUCAUCACUCCGGUUGAAGUUCCUACAAAUAAGUUAUUGCGGUGGCAUAGUCAGAAUUGAUAUUUCUGCCCCUAAUCUUGUGUCAUUUAUAUAUCGCGGACAAAAUGUGUACAGAAGAGGAAUUGUUUUGAAACAUGCACCCAAGCUUGUCUACGUAUCUCUCUCAGAAGACGAACCUGAUAGCAUUACCAAACAUCUUCUGUCGAUAUCAGCUCGACUUUCAUACCUUCAGACUCUCCACCUGUGGAUGAAUCUGAGAAGGGUUAGACUCUCAACCUGUUAUUUACUUUAAAAUUUUCCUAGCUUCUUGUGCUUGUUGGUUGAUCAUUUUCAAGUUUUUUACGUUCCUAUCUUUCAGACAAAUGUUAUGCUCCCACAAUUUCCCGAAUUAACUAGUCUCAAAGACUUGUCGUUGACUGUACAUGCCAAAAAUUAUGGUCCAAGUCUCCUGGAUAUGACUUCCUUGUUAGAGCAAUCUCCCUUCUUGCAGAGAUUAACAUUCCAGGUAAAUUCAAUAUAUCUAUUAACGUGGUUUUUAGAAGUCAUAUGUUGAUCCUCUACUUUUCAAAUAUAUUAACGUGGUCAUCAACAUUGUAUUAUUGAUAAUUCCGUUCCUCCUAGAAAUCGCAAAAGCAUGGAAUUUAAAAUGAUGAAUUUAAUGUUCAUUUGGAAUUUUUGAACUUUUUAUCUGUUUUUUUAAUUUUGUGCAUGUAGUUGAUAUUAGGAAAUGAUUUCAUUACUUUAUAAUUAGUUACACUGAGGUAUUUAUAUAAACUAGAUUUACACAGGUAAAGAGAAUAGUUACAGUGGUAACUAUUUGUAACUAUUCUAACAACUAACUAACUUGACUAACACUAAUGUUUUACAAUGGUAACUUGCUCUUCACACCCCCUCAAGCUGAACGGAGAAGGUUGAAGUGAAAGCUUGGAUCGAAGAUGAAGAAAACGUGGCCUUGGCAGAGAUUUGGUGUGAAUAUCCGCUAAUUGAUCCGCACUGCAAACAAAUUUGACAGUAAGAAGCUUAGCCAAAACAAGCUCACGGAUGUAAUGAUAAUCGAUUUCAACAUGCUUUGUGCGAGCAUGAAAAACCGGAUUUGAAGUCAAGGCAAUUGCAGAAACAUUGUCACACCAAAUUUGUGGCAAGGAGGACAACUUGAAACCAAUAUCAGAGAAGAGUUGACAGAUCCAAGUGAUCUCAGCAGCGGUAUGUGCAAGGGAGUGGUACUCAGCUUCGGUAGAGGAUCGGGCAACUGUGUGCUGUUUCUUUGCACUCCAACUAACUAGACAAGGACCAAGAAAGAUGCAAAAGCCUCCAGUGGAACGCCUAUCCCACGAACAUCCUGCCCAGUCAGCAUCGGAGUAGGCGUUGAGAAGGAGGGGAGAUGUGGUUUUGGGAAACCAUAAGCCAAAUCCAAGUGUCCCUUUUAGAUACCGGAGGAUGCGUUUCACGGCUUGAAAGUGAGGCUCCCGGGGAGAAUGCAUGAACUGACACACCAGAUUAACCGCAAAGGAUAAAUCAGGCCGGGUCCAUGUAAGAUAUUGGAGGGCGCCAACAAUAGAGCGAUAGUCCUCGGGAUUCGACAACAAGGAACCAGUGUGAUCAAGCUUGACAGAACUAAGGGGAGUGGCACAUGGCUUUGCCCCAUCCAUUUUGGUACGCUUGAGAAGAUCCAAUAUGUAUUUGGAUUGAUGAAUAAAGGCUCCGGAGGUGGAUUUCUGAACUUCCAGACCGAGAAAGUAAUGAAGAUCGCCGAGAUCCUUGAUUGGAAAUGUAGAGCUCAACUGAGAAAUGAUGGUGUUGCAGACACUAGAAGAAGGUCCGGUCACUAUGAUAUCAUCGACAUACACAAGAACCAAAACCAAGGUAGGUUGAUGCAGCACAAACAGACUAUGAUCAGAGUGUGAAGCUUGAAAUCCCAUUGAGAAAAGAGCAGAUUGAAGUUUUUCAUACCAAGCACGAGGGGCUUGCUUUAAGCCAUAUAAGGAUUUCUUCAAGUGACAGAUAUGAGUAGGAUGAUCCUGAUCAAUGAACCCAGGUGGUUGAGCCAUAUAUACAUUCUCUUUCAAAGAACCAUGGAGAAAAGCAUUGCUUACAUCCAGCUGGUGUAAAAACCAGUUUGAUUGGACGGAAAGGGUGAGAAUGAUGCGGAUAGUCACAGGUUUAGCAACCGGGCUAAAAGUAUCACCAUAAUCAAUGCCCUCUUGCUGAUUGUAACCUUUUGCAACGAGUCGAGCCUUGUAACGAUCCACAGAACCAUCUGGUUUCCUCUUAAUCCGGAAAACCCAUUUACAGCCAACCAAAUUAUGAGUGGAGGUAGAAGGAACAAGCUGCCAAGUACCUGUACUUUGUAAAGCAUUGAAUUCAUCCUGCAUAGCAGCCCUCCACUGUGAAUGUUUGGAAGCCUGGAGAUAUGUAGUAGGUAUAAACUCACUGUCAAAAUGAGAAGGCAGAGGAUGGGUUGUGGCAGUAAGAGCCUUAGGUUUGUAUAUGCCUGACUUAGAGCGGGUUUGCAUUGGGUGAACAGAGGAAAUAGGAGGUACAGGAGGAGGGGCAGGGUGUAGAGAAGGAGAGGCUGGUAGAGGAGAAGAGGGAGGUGAGGGAGGUUGCAGAGGUGCAGGACAAGGAGCAGGAGAAUGAACUUGCUCAGUAACUGGCGCAGGUUGAGGAGGGGAGGAAGAGAUGGGUGGUGGAACACGGGAAGGGAGAGAAUUAGGAGAAUAAAGAUUGGGAAAGGUAAGGGAAAAAUGUGAGUAAGGUUCUGGGGUAUGGGGAGUGGAGGACUUUAGAAGGUGGGGAUCAUGAAAAGGAAAUGUAUGUUCAUCAAAAUGAACAUGUCUAGAGAGAUAAACCCGAUUAGUGAAGGGAUCUAGACAUCUAUACCCCUUGUGAGCUAAGCUGUAGCCAAUGAAAAUACACAUCUUGCUCUUGGGAUCUAAUUUGGAAUUGGUGUAUGGUUUUAACCAAGGAAAGCACUGACAUCCAAAUACCCGAAGAGACUUGUAAUCUGGAACUUUCUUGAAAAAUUGUUCCCAAGGGGAAGACUUGUUGACUGGAGGUAGGCGAUUGAUAAGAUAGACUGCAGUAAGAAAACCUUCAACCCAGAAUUUGUGAGGAACUUGUGAGGCAAUAAGGAGGGUUCGAGCAGUCUCAACAAUAUGUCUGUGCUUCCUUUCAGCACAACCGUUUUGCUGAGGAGUGUAAGGACAACUGAAUUGUUGCUGAAUGCCAUGGAGAGACAAAUGAUGCUUGAAGUUAGAACUUGUAAACUCACCCCCUGAGUCUGAUCGUAAAGUACCAAUUUUGUAACCAGACAGAUUUUCAACAAGAGCUUGGAAUUGCACAAAAAUUUGAAACACUUCCGAUUUAUGUUUGAGAGGAUACAGCCAAGUAUAUAUUUGGUAAAAUCAUCUACAAAUAUGACAUAAAAGCGGUAGCCACUAACAGAACAUACUGGAGCUGGCCCCCAAACAUCCGCAUGAACCAAUUCAAGAGACCUAGAAGUAGUACAGAGAGAUUCUUGAAAUGGUAACUUGGCACAUUUGCCUAAAACACAAUUGGAGCAAAAGAAUUGUUGAACAUUAUUAGAAUCAGGUAGUAUAGACUUGGAUAACAGUGAUCGAAAAGUCUUGAACGAUGGAUGACCCAAACGUUGAUGCCACACAUGAGAAGAGGUCCUUAUUGCAGAAUGAGCAUGAACCUUCGGUGCAGGUGAAGAAGAAGCAUAAAAUGGAUAGAGACCAUUGCUGACAGGAGCUCUAAAAAGCAUCCUCCCCGUAGUAAGAUCCUUGACAUGGAAGUCAAAAGGAUUGAGGGUUAAUGAACACCAAUUAUCACGCAAGAACAUAUUGGCAGAAAGAAGAUCAUGCUUCAAGUGGGGAACAUGUAACACAUUCUUUAAUGUAAAAUCUGCAGAAGGUGUUUUAAGUAAAGUAGAACCAGUAUGGAGAAUUGGCAAACCUUGGCCAUCUCCAAUGUAGACUUUAUCUAGACCAGUAUAGGGCUGUGGAUUCUGAAGAUGAUGAAUAUUAUUGGUCAUAUGGGAGCUUGCGCCGGAAUCCAGUAGCCAUGGUGGUGGAGAAGAAGUACUAGAAGAUGCGUACAUCGCAAGUUUGGCGGGCGGGAACACGGCCUUGAAAAGUUGGAUUCAUGCGGUGGGAACAGUCAAUGGCAGCAAGAUGGCCAGUGUCCUCACAAAUUUGACACGGAAUGACUGCAGAAGUGAAAGAACGGAAGCCACGAUUUCCACCUCGAUUUCCACCACGAUUAGUUGAGAAAUUAGUAAACCGAUUGGAACGAUUACGGUUGUUGUAGGGCCUUUGAGAAGUGUUCCGCUGAAAAUUACCGCGAUUAUUGCCAGGGUAAGAAUGCUGAGAAACCAUUAGACUGAGCAUUGUAGGCCUGAUGUGGUGGAGGUGUAGGAAGCAAAGGAGGAGCAUUGGAAGCUGCUGGAAUAGAGGUGAAUGCCUGAUACGGUUCAGAGGAACCCUGAGAUUGCUUGCGACGAGCAAGAGCCAUUUCUUUGCUGAGAAGAAAUCCAUGGAGAUCAUCAACAGUAGUAUCAGCAAGACGAAAUUGAAUUGAAUCCACGAAGGAAUCAUAGUCAUCAGGCAAGCCAUUUAAGAAUGAGGUGAAGGAGAUCCGACUCCUCAACAGGGGCACCACCAAACACCGGCAGCAGCGAGAGCAUCAGAAACUUCUUUGAUUCGUUGCAAAUAUUCAGAUAUUGUGGAAGUGCCUUUCGACAUCAAUUGCAAAUUCGAUCGCAACUGAUGAAUGUGAGAACGAGAGACUCCACCGAAUCGCUUCUCAAGAUUUUGCCAAAGUUCACGGGAGGAUUGAACACCAACAGUAAAGGGAAUCAAAUCCUCAGAAAGAGUGGAAUUAAUCCAAAUGAGGAUGUUUUGAUCCUUUUCAUACCAGAUCUCGAAGGCUGGAUUCGGAAUCGAGGACAAAUUUCCAGAAAGAUCAGCAAGAAAUUGAGGCGGUGGCGGUUCAGAUCCAUCAACCACGCCGCUGAGCUUGUAGCGGCGGAAGAUCGGUUCGAACAAAGAACGCCAAACAAGGUAAUUAUGACGCUUGAGUUUUGUUUGAAUCAUACUCCCAAUGUUUUGGAUCGUGAUGGAGUUGAGUGAAGCUUGAAAGGAGGAGUUAGGGUUCAUCUGAGAAGGAUUGAGAUGUGGAGGCAGCGAAGAGGAAGGAUCCGCGAUCGCCGGAGAAGGAGGAUGCGCAGCCACAGGAGAGGAAGAAUUCGAAGAAUUUGCCGCCAUUGAUGAACAAGAUCGAAGAUCUGCAGACGGAAGCUAUGGUGUUUGGUAGGUAAGAAAAUAAGCAAGAAAAUAGUAGAAAGAGGAUCGAAGUCGGUGGACUUAAGCGAGUGAUACCAUAUUAGGAAAUGAUUUCAUUACUUUAUAAUUAGUUACACUGAGGUAUUUAUAUAAACUAGAUUUACACAGGUAAAGAGAAUAGUUACAGUGGUAACUAUUUGUAACUAUUCUAACAACUAACUAACUUGACUAACACUAAUGUUUUACAAUGGUAACUUGCUCUUCAGUUGAGAUUAGUGUUCAUUGAACAACCGAGUGGAAAUUACAAGCAACAGGAAAGCGUAUUUUUACCACUUGUGAUUUUUUUUUCAUUACCGCAUGAAACUUCUACUUGUUUUGAACUUUUGAUACGAGCGAUAGUGGGAAGGAGAAACCAAACUCGAGACCUCGGGUUUGAGGGUGGAUACUCCUAACCAACUAAACUACAAGUCAUUUUCUCAAACUUCUGUGUGUUGAAGUAACUUGUCAUGAGAAGAUUAAUAUGAAUGUGGUAUGCUCCUCUUACAGUUACAAUGGGGAUAUGUUCGCGAGGGUUAUACGAGAAAUAUGCAGGAGAUUAAAAGAUGUCCUCAUCAAUGCCUUAAGGUGGUGAGAUUUUCUGGGUUCAUUGGGAUGGGCGGGUCAAUUAUCGAUACGGAGUUUGCCAUGUAUCUGGUGGAAAAUGCUGUGGUACUUGAAAAGUUUAUCAUAGAACUUGAAAAGGUCGAAUUAGCUUAUAUACUGCCAGAGUUUGCUACAACGGAGGAGAAAUUAGAAGCAACAAAGGAGCAUGCUUUGCAGCUAAUUGGAACACAAUUACCACCAGGAGCUGAGUUGUUUAUCAUAUAAGUCCUUUCAUUUAUCUGUUUUUGCAGCAUACUUGAAGCUUUUUUUUAGUCUGCAACAUUUGUAUAAUUCGCAGUUUGCAAGUUUGCAGUUACUGAUCAUGUAAUGUUUUAAGGGUAUCAAUGGAUUAGUUUUGAGUUGGGUAUGACCUUGGUUUCUUGAUGUCGGUUUUCCCAUAUUUAUUUUAUAAUUUUGACAUUUUUCUGAAGAGUGCUGCUAGAUUUACCUAAAUAACACAAGUGUCACAGCAAAGAUGAGAUAUAACCCAUGUUGACGAGUUGAGGGGAGACUGACUUGUUUAUCAAGUCGUUUGACUUUUCCACUUUGCAGCAACUACAACUAUGGUCAAGCAGGCAAGGACUCGGAAAGGAUCUGAUAAACAACCCGGAUCUAGUGCCCACGGACCCGGUUGUAUCAUUGUCUUGGAUGGCUCCACAGGAAAACAAGCCAUCAAGCCAUGAUGUCAUCAGUGGUAGGUCCAUCUAGGCAGACAGAUCAGCGGGUCGGAUUCCCGGGUAUGGAGUGAUCACCAACAUCAUCAACGGAGGGCUUGAAUGGGGCAAGGCUCAGGAUGCUAGGGUUGCUAGUCGGAUCGGGUUCUACAGAAGGUACUGUCAGAUUUUGGAAGUGAGUCCGGGGGAUAACUUGGAUUGUUACAAUCAAAGGUCUUCUGCCUAAAAAAAUAUGCUAAAGUUUAGUCUUGGAGAUGUUGUCAUAAGACAAUAAUCCCAUCCUAUGUACUAAAUGAAAUGCAAUGAUCCUAUGUAAUAAAGAAAUUUCUCGUUUACACUAUAAGUUAGUUGUCUUAGUUGUGAUACGAGGAUGAGAGAAUCGAACACAAAAACUUAGUUGAUGUUGUUGUUGCAAUGAUAAAUCACUUAAUAUUAUACUACUACUAAGAAACUUACUUUGUUUAUAAAGUUAUAGGCGGAAUCAUGUGCGCCUUGUUUAUAAAGUUACAGUUGAUGGUACCUUGCAAUUACCUUAAAUUCCUUUUCACUAAAUAGAAAUGAGCAUUAGUUGGAGAUGACAUAUAUAAAUUGAUAGGCAUAAUUGACGGAAAAAACAAUGUAUGGCCUUGUAAAAACAUUGUAAAGCUCCAACUAAGCUCCUAAACAUUGUGGGAUCAGUCAAUGGAGUACCUUCAUCCUUAAGUACUUGUGUGUGGGGUUUACAAGGAGUAAGACAUGGUUUACAAGAUUCCUUUCCAGCCUUUUUCAACAAAUCAUUCAUAUACUUUGACUGAGAAAUGAAGAUAUUACUAUUACUAGUGUUGUUUUAGUUUGAUGUUAUUGUAGAUGUGAACUUUUUUACAUAAUGUAGAGCUAAAAAUAGGUCCAAAAUUUCUGGAGGCGACACGUGGACUUUUAGCGAAAAAAAGACAAGACUGCCCUUAUUAAGCUUAGCAUCCUAAGACAUGCAUUUAGCAGACUACGACUGCUUAGAGCUCCACUGCACGUGGAAAAUGUCAAAGGUAUUUCAUGAUAAGAUUAUCCUUAAAUCCUAGCAUUAAUAUAGUCUUGAUUGAAUUCUAUCAAGUAAGUAAUCCCAAUUAUAUUUAAUUAGGGAUAAUUACCUUUAAUUCCAAGAUAUUAUUUACACAAUAUCCAGGGAAUAUUCUCACCAAAUCCUACCCUAAUGGUCGGCCAUCUCAUUUGUAAAUACCCCAUUUCUCCACAAAAAAUGGGUAAGGUUUUCUAUAUACAGAAAACCUUAAACAUUCACUCUUUUCAGGGAAACUAACUCAGGGCUUGUUUGGAUGUGCUUUUAAAAUGACUGAAAGCGUUUUUAGAGAAAAUGCUUUUGGAUUUCAAAAGCACUUUGAGUGCUUUUUCAGGAUUUACUUGCAUUUUUACUAUGGAUUGGUUCUAAAAACAUUUUCACCAAAAGCAUCCAAUCAUUUUAAAAGCACAUCCAAACAAGCUCUUAGGUCUUGGAAAUCUGUUCCCCUCCCCCCCCCCCCCAAAAAAAAUCAUGGGUGAGUGAGGUCUUUGAUUUUUUUAUCAAAUGUGUUGAUUGUUUUGCAGGUGCAUUUUCAUCAAAACUGAAAAUAGCGGAAAUUUGCAUUGACACAUAUAAUUUGAAGAUGCUCUUAUCCUACUGAUCAUAUAAUGUUAAAGGUCUUUGUUUUCAUAUUUAUUUUAGAAUUUUAAAUAUUUUCUUACAUGUCUUAUUUUUCUCACAUGUCCUCCCUUAAUGAAAAUUCUCACAACAAAAUUUAUCUAAAGUGGAUCAAAAUUUUGAAUGAAUAGGUGAGAAUAACAACCAUUCUCUUUGAAUAUCUAAAUAUCAAAAAUGCUACUCUUGUCAUAUUUUUAUAUCAUAUUUGUGCUCUUAUUUAAUAGAGAUAGAACGCACUUAUAUUGGUGUGUCACAUAAAGGAGAUAAACAAGAGGAAAAGUGCUUAUAAAGGAAAAACAAGUGGGAGAGUGCAAAAUAACUAUUUUUGGGCAAUAAUAACGUCCUUAGUUAUAUGUUAAAUCAAUUUUGUAAUUAUGCAUUAUUUUUUCCGUCUCAUUGUGUCUCGGUUUAAAUUCUCUCUGGUAAUGAUUAGUGUAUAUCAAUUAUAAUAAUUAAAUUAAAAUAAUUUAUUAUGUAUAGAUGAUAUUUAAGGGUGACUUUUUUGUUUUGGUACAAACGAUAUUAUCGUCACUAAGAAAAAUGGAGGUUAGCCUCAUAAUGAGCUAGCAAUAUAAUGGUUCAAAUUCAUCAUUGACGAGAAUCGAAUCUAAAAUCUCUUACUUAUAAAUGAAGAUAAAUAUUAUUUUACGAUAAUCAAAAGAGAGACUCGCAGGUACAAAGACAACUAUAAAGAGGAAGGUAUCUAGCUUUAUGUUUCCUCCAUGUCUCUUUUUUGUACAUUUUAACUUCUCUAGUAAGCUCGAGUAUCCAUUUUCCAACCCCAACACUCUCCCCACAUUUCCGGCUGUCCACGUUGGCCAAUCAUCACCUGAGCCACUCCCAACCCUCACCGCGGUGCCCACCCCUCCACCACCACCACCUCCUUCUCCUCUCUCCGAUCUCCUCGAAAACCAGUUACGAAAUCCUAAAAACAAGUAAGUUCCCUUCUUCCUCGCUCUCUUUCUGAUUUAACAUUAUCUAGCUUAUUUGAUAUCAUCCAUGAAUUUAUAUUUUAUCGCCUUUGAAAUCGACGAAUAUUAAGUAAUUUAGUUACAUUCAUCGUUUUUGAAAAUUCUAAAAAUUAGUUUCAAAUCGAUCAUUAAGUAAUUUAGCUGCUAAACUGACUAGCUAGUAGCUAGCAUGAGACUCUAGGCUCUGGCAUACUUACUGACAGGUUCUUUGUAAAUUUUUCUAACUUGCCUCAGAAUCUGCAGCUUAUCUGACUAAAUUGUUCCAGUAUUAAGUUCAAUAGUUAGCAAAUCGAAGAAGGUUCGAUGGAAAUUCCAACUGCAUCAACAUAUGAUAAAAAACAAGAUAAAACUCCGAUGAAUUUGGGUGAUAAGGGAGAAACAAGUAAUCCGUUGGAGGAUCGGAUUAGUCAACUGCCCGACGCGGUUCUGGUUGACAUCAUUUCCCCGUUGAGGAUUAAGGAAGUAGCAAGGACUAGUGUCCUCUCUAAGAGGUGGAGAUAUU
Molecule: long non-coding RNA, 10624 nt
Filed under: Malus domestica (apple)
Lineage: Eukaryota; Viridiplantae; Streptophyta; Magnoliopsida; Rosales; Rosaceae
Description: long non-coding RNA (MDOM_LNC001502)
Source: RNAcentral